RNAcentral lists this ribosomal RNA (372 nucleotides) under uncultured bacterium. RNAcentral's name for it is "bacterial SSU rRNA". It matches the Rfam family "Bacterial small subunit ribosomal RNA", at positions 30 to 404 of the family's 1533-position model. The record is from RNAcentral.
AUUGAACGCUGGCGGCAUGCCUUACACAUGCAAGUCGAACGGUAACGCGGGGCAACCUGGCGACGAGUGGCGAACGGGUGAGUAAUAUAUCGGAACGUGCCCAAUAGUGGGGGAUAGCCCGGCGAAAGCCGGAUUAAUACCGCAUACGACCUGAGGGUGAAAGCGGGGGAUCGCAAGACCUCGCGCUAUUGGAGCGGCCGAUAUCAGAUUAGGUAGUUGGUGGGGUAAAAGCCUACCAAGCCUACGAUCUGUAGCUGGUCUGAGAGGACGACCAGCCACACUGGGACUGAGACACGGCCCAGACUCCUACGGGAGGCAGCAGUGGGGAAUUUUGGACAAUGGGGGAAACCCUGAUCCAGCCAUUCCGCGUGA